GAGAAGAAAAGGGGUGGGAAGUGGUUGCCGCUUGCUGCAGCCAGCCUGAGCGAUGGUUAGGUGGUUAAUCAUGGUGGCUGAGAAAACAUCGGGUCACUUCUCCCCCCUUCCGCCUCCCGUGUAGCGUGGAAGGGUGGGCAGCGCGGCGGAGGCACCCGCCGUGCCACCGCCACCAGCCAAGGGGGGGGACCCGGAUCCCGCACCGCUCGCACGGACCCGCUGCCGGCGGCGGCGGCGACUCAGGAACCUGUGAAAAAAGCUUAUUGUUGUGGGGGAAGAGAAAACUAUUAUAGAAACACAGUGAGAUAAAGAAAUAUCAAAAGAAGUGAUGGAAUGGCCCAAGGGUAGGGAAUUUUGCUGAGGAUGUACCAGCAUUACGGCUUCCCAGACAGGAGCACUCAGGUGUAGCUAACAGCUGCACCACGGCAGCUGAACUGGGACCCCUUUGCUCUCCUGACAGAGCUGAUCAUGCUCCACCUCGGCACUCCAAAGACAGUGGAGUUUGCUCACACUCCACCAGGAUGAAGAAAGUAAGAGAUGUUAGGCAGAGGAAGAUACACGGGCAUGUUUCUACUCAGCCAUUUGCUGCUCUAUAGUAUGAAGUCACACUGGCUUACCUUGCAGUCUGCAAGAACCUCACUCUGAUGGAGUAUCUGUCUUGACUCCCACUGCUGGGACCUUUUCUUUAAUGGACAGUUCAGGUUUCCAGAGUUUCUUGAUUUCCCUUUGAGUGAUCC
Molecule: long non-coding RNA, 737 nt
Organism: Tyto alba (common barn owl)
Lineage: Eukaryota; Metazoa; Chordata; Aves; Strigiformes; Tytonidae
Exons: 4
Source: RefSeq, a predicted model, not a curated record